RNAcentral lists this transfer-messenger RNA (405 nucleotides) under marine eukaryotic metagenome. It matches the Rfam family "transfer-messenger RNA". Rfam says of the family: Bacterial tmRNA, also known as 10Sa RNA or SsrA, is named for its dual tRNA and mRNA-like properties. Its role is to liberate the mRNA from a stalled ribosome. The record is from RNAcentral.
GGGGCUGAAUGGUUUCGACAGCAAGUCGAAGCGGAAUGUAAGCAUGCCGGGCCAUGGAGAUGUCGCCCGUUAUCAAAGAUGCUUCAAACAACAGUUGGCGAAGACAAUAACUUCGCGCUUGCCGCGUAACCACUCGAUAGAGGGUUACUGCUAAUCCACGCGUAAGACGCGGGAGCAAGCCAUCCCGCGGUUCCUAAGUCCGGAGGGAACCGGUUCCGGGGUGUCAUAAAAUCUGGACUAGAGAUUUUGUGGUUGCGCAGGAAUCUCGAAAUGACAAGCCGCAGCUAAGCCAUAGGUAGGGUGUUUGUUCCCGGCCUAUGGUCGAAAACCUAAUAACAAACUAAGCAUGUAGAAAGCCUUCGGCUUCCUUGUUUGCACGUGGGUUCGAAUCCCACCAGCUCCACA